Molecule: unclassified non-coding RNA, 354 nt
Filed under: soil metagenome
Description: partial contains 5.8S ribosomal RNA, internal transcribed spacer 2, and large subunit ribosomal RNA
Rfam family: 5.8S ribosomal RNA (bases 1-120)
Source: RNAcentral
GAUGAAUAACGCAGCGAAAUGCGAUACGUAAUGUGAAUUGCAGAAUUCAGUGAAUCAUCGAGUCUUUGAACGCACAUUGCGCCCCCUGGCAUUCCGGGGGGCAUGCCUGUCCGAGCGUCAUUUCUGCCCUCCAGCCCGGCUGGGUGUUGGGCGCUGUCCCCCCGGGGACACGCCCCAAAGGCAGUGGCGGCGCCGCGUCGGGUCCUCGAGCGUAUGGGGCUUUGUCACCCGCUCGGGACGGACUCGUCGGCGCUGGUCUUCCUCCAGGCGACCCUUCGGGGCUCGUCUUCCUUCGGUUGACCUCGGAUCAGGUAGGGUUACCCGCUGAACUUAAGCAUAUCAAUAAGCGGAGGA